UUGCAGAGAACUCGAAAGGUGCAUCGUGACAUGCUGAAAGCUCGGGUUGGGCCAGAGCCUACGCCAGUACCCCUGCAGUUAAAACCUACCUUUCCUUCAGGGGGACUGGAUGACUCUUUGGAGGAUGAUUUGUGCUUAUUGGUCCCCGAUACUUCAGUACCAUCCACCUCUGCAGCUCCACAGGUCGCUUCAGGACAUGGUCACCCUGCUCAAACUUCUGGGACAGCUCCUCUACCCUUGCGUCGCACUGUUCGUUUUGGGGCUGGUCAGCACUCGAAUGUCCAUCACCUUCCUCGACCUGUGGGUCAUACUGCAGGAUCUAGUCAGCCAGUCUCCAACUCCCAGUUAGCAGUUUUUCGUCCUUGGUGCUGAGGUUUGUAGAUUCAUCGUCGGGGCGACGAUGCAACACAGGGGGGUAGAAUGUGGUGGGAUGGUGUUCCACCCUCCCAACUACACACACCAGGUGUAGUGACUGAUUGGGGGGCGGGGCAGAUAGCUUUAAAGCUGAGCAGUCCGCUGCGAGGUGCGUGUGCUUUGUUUCCUUACCGUGUGUCGGCUGCCCAAGUGGCUGGUGUGCUCGAUCCACUCAUCCAAAAUACGUUGCGCGGCUGGCGUUGGCGGCUGCAGUUGGAGGUUGGUGCGGCGAGCGGCUUCCGUCCGGCCCUCGCCUGCUGAUCCGCUCCCUCCCUGGUCGGCUGUGUCACCACAUCUGGGAUUCUUCCGGAGUUGCAGCGCUUGGACGCUCCUGCUGUCUUGUCUGUCUUGCCGGUUUUGUUUGGGCCGCUCUCGGCGGAGCCUGCUGACGCUUGGGC
Long non-coding RNA from Cyprinodon tularosa, 812 nucleotides. RefSeq lists it as uncharacterized. The record is from RefSeq and is a predicted model, not a curated record. NCBI's taxonomy places the organism in Eukaryota, Metazoa, Chordata, Actinopteri, Cyprinodontiformes, Cyprinodontidae. The transcript has 3 exons.